UACGUAGGGUGCGAGCGUUGUCCGGAAUUAUUGGGCGUAAAGAGCUCGUAGGCGGCCUGUCGCGUCGGAUGUGAAAGCCCGGGGCUUAACCCCGGGUCUGCAUUCGAUACGGGCAGGCUGGAGUUCGGUAGGGGAGAUCGGAAUUCCUGGUGUAGCGGUGAAAUGCGCAGAUAUCAGGAGGAACACCGGUGGCGAAGGCGGGUCUCUGGGCCGAUACUGACACUGAGGAGCGAAAGCGUGGGGAGCGAACAGG
This 253-nucleotide ribosomal RNA is filed under the name uncultured bacterium. RNAcentral describes it as "partial 16S ribosomal RNA". It matches the Rfam family "Bacterial small subunit ribosomal RNA", at positions 524 to 776 of the family's 1533-position model. The record is from RNAcentral.